AAGGAUCAUUACAAGUAAAUACGUGUUCCUAGGAAUAUGAAUUUUCAAACCCCUCUGUGUACCUUACCUGUUGCUUCCGUGCUGCGUGGACUUUGGUCCCCUCCCUCGCUGGAGUGCCGGCACGGCUAACAAAACUCAUGCAUUUCAUGUCAUCUGUCUGAACUGAUAAAUACAAAAAGUUAAAACUUUCAACAACGGAUCUCUUGGUUCUC
RNAcentral lists this unclassified non-coding RNA (212 nucleotides) under uncultured fungus. RNAcentral's name for it is "partial contains 18S rRNA, ITS1, 5.8S rRNA, ITS2 and 28S rRNA". Lineage: Eukaryota; Fungi. The record is from RNAcentral.